CUCCUACGGGAGGCUGCAGUGGGGAAUAUUGGACAAUGGGGGAAACCCUGAUCCAGCCAUGCCGCGUGUGUGAAGAAGGCCCUCGGGUCGUAAAGCACUUUAAGCGGGGAGGAAGGGGUGAUGGUUAAUAACUGUCAUCAUUGACGUUACCCGCAGAAUAAGCACCGGCUAACUCUGUGCCAGCAGCCGCGGUAAUACAGAGGGUGCGAGCGUUAAUCGGAAUUACUGGGCGUAAAGCGCGCGUAGGCGGUUGUGUAAGUUGGAGGUGAAAUCCCCGGGCUUAACCUGGGCACUGCCUUCAAAACUGCACGGCUAGAGUAUGGGAGAGGAAGGUAGAAUUCCAGGUGUAGCGGUGAAAUGCGUAGAGAUCUGGAGGAAUACCGAUGGCGAAGGCAGCCUUCUGGCCUAAUGCUGACGCUGAGGUGCGAAAGCAUGGGGAGCAAACAGGAUUAGAUACCCUGGUAGUCCAUGCCGUAAACGAUGUCGACUAGGUGUUGGGGAACUUGAUUCCUUAGUGCCGCAGCUAACGCAUUAA
RNAcentral lists this ribosomal RNA (535 nucleotides) under uncultured bacterium. RNAcentral describes it as "bacterial SSU rRNA". It matches the Rfam family "Bacterial small subunit ribosomal RNA", at positions 336 to 863 of the family's 1533-position model. The record is from RNAcentral.